This 851-nucleotide ribosomal RNA is filed under the name Actinobacteridae bacterium Control.10. Its description in RNAcentral is "bacterial SSU rRNA". It matches the Rfam family "Bacterial small subunit ribosomal RNA", at positions 38 to 904 of the family's 1533-position model. Lineage: Bacteria; Bacillati; Actinomycetota; Actinomycetes. The record is from RNAcentral.
UGCGCGUGCUUACCAUGCAAGUCGAACGGUGAAAGAGAGCUUGCUCUCUGGAUCAGUGGCGAACGGGUGAGUAACACGUGAGCAAUCUGCCCCUGACUCUGGGAUAAGCGCUGGAAACGGCGUCUAAUACCGGAUACGAGCUGCGAAGGCAUCUUCAGCAGCUGGAAAGAACUUCGGUCAGGGAUGAGCUCGCGGCCUAUCAGCUAGUUGGUGAGGUAAUGGCUCACCAAGGCGUCGACGGGUAGCCGGCCUGAGAGGGUGACCGGCCACACUGGGACUGAGACACGGCCCAGACUCCUACGGGAGGCAGCAGUGGGGAAUAUUGCACAAUGGGCGCAAGCCUGAUGCAGCAACGCCGCGUGAGGGACGACGGCCUUCGGGUUGUAAACCUCUUUUAGCAGGGAAGAAGCGAAAGUGACGGUACCUGCAGAAAAAGCACCGGCUAACUACGUGCCAGCAGCCGCGGUAAUACGUAGGGUGCAAGCGUUAUCCGGAAUUAUUGGGCGUAAAGAGCUCGUAGGCGGUUUGUCGCGUCUGCUGUGAAAACUGGGGGCUCAACCCCCAGCCUGCAGUGGGUACGGGCAGACUAGAGUGCGGUAGGGGAGAUUGGAAUUCCUGGUGUAGCGGUGGAAUGCGCAGAUAUCAGGAGGAACACCGAUGGCGAAGGCAGAUCUCUGGGCCGUAACUGACGCUGAGGAGCGAAAGGGUGGGGAGCAAACAGGCUUAGAUACCCUGGUAGUCCACCCCGUAAACGUUGGGAACUAGUUGUGGGGUCCAUUCCACGGAUUCCGUGACGCAGCUAACGCAUUAAGUUCCCCGCCUGGGGAGUACGGCCGCAAGGCUAAACUCAG